Molecule: ribosomal RNA, 434 nt
Filed under: uncultured bacterium
Lineage: Bacteria
Description: partial 16S ribosomal RNA
Rfam family: Bacterial small subunit ribosomal RNA
Source: RNAcentral
AACGAACGCUGGCGGCAUGCCUAACACAUGCAAGUCGAACGAGAUCUUCGGGUCUAGUGGCGCACGGGUGCGUAACGCGUGGGAAUCUGCCCUCAGGUUCGGAAUAACCAUUGGAAACGAUGGCUAAUACCGGAUGAUGACGUUAAGUCCAAAGAUUUAUCGCCUGAGGAUGAGCCCGCGUAGGAUUAGCUAGUUGGUGUGGUAAAGGCGCACCAAGGCGACGAUCCUUAACUGGUCUGAGAGGAUGAUCAGCCACACUGGGACUGAGACACGGCCCAGACUCCUACGGGAGGCAGCAGUGGGGAAUAUUGGACAAUGGGCGAAAGCCUGAUCCAGCAAUGCCGCGUGAGUGAUGAAGGCCUUAGGGUUGUAAAGCUCUUUUACCCGGGAUGAUAAUGACAGUACCGGGAGAAUAAGCGCCGGCUAACUCCGUG